This 482-nucleotide ribosomal RNA is filed under the name uncultured bacterium. RNAcentral's name for it is "partial 16S ribosomal RNA". It matches the Rfam family "Bacterial small subunit ribosomal RNA", at positions 30 to 507 of the family's 1533-position model. The record is from RNAcentral.
AUUGAACGCUGGCGGCAUGCCUUACACAUGCAAGUCGAACGGUAACGGGCCUUCGGGUGCCGACGAGUGGCGAACGGGCGAGUAAUACAUCGGAACGUGCCCGAUCGUGGGGGAUAACGAGGCGAAAGCUUUGCUAAUACCGCAUACGAUCUACGUAUGAAAGCAGGGGACCGCAAGGCCUUGCGCGGACGGAGCGGCCGAUGGCAGAUUAGGUAGUUGGUGGGAUAAAAGCUUACCAAGCCGACGAUCUGUAGCUGGUCUGAGAGGAUGAUCAGCCACACUGGGACUGAGACACGGCCCAGACUCCUACGGGAGGCAGCAGUGGGGAAUUUUGGACAAUGGGCGCAAGCCUGAUCCAGCCAUGCCGCGUGCAGGAUGAAGGCCUUCGGGUUGUAAACUGCUUUUGUACGGAACGAAAAGCCUUCUUUUAAUACAGGAGGGUCAUGACGGUACCGUAAGAAUAAGCACCGGCUAACUACGUG